Small nuclear RNA from Nicotiana attenuata, 86 nucleotides. It matches the Rfam family "U4 spliceosomal RNA". From Rfam's summary of the family: U4 small nuclear RNA (U4 snRNA) is a component of the major U2-dependent spliceosome. The record is from Rfam. Lineage: Eukaryota; Viridiplantae; Streptophyta; Magnoliopsida; Solanales; Solanaceae.
AUCUUUGCGCUUGGGGCAAUGACGCAGCUAGUGAGGGUUCUAACCGAGGCGCGUCUAUUGCUGGUUGAAAACUAUUUCCAAACCNN